Molecule: ribosomal RNA, 802 nt
Filed under: uncultured bacterium
Lineage: Bacteria
Description: bacterial SSU rRNA
Rfam family: Bacterial small subunit ribosomal RNA
Source: RNAcentral
CUGAGAUGCUGAUCCUACUCCUUGGGACUGAGACACUGCCCAAUCUCCUACGGUGGACGGAACUCUGAUCUAUCGACGCCUCGUGCAAGAUCAAAGUCUUCGGAUUGUAAACUGCUGUGGUAGGGGAAAAAUGCUAUGUAUAGUGCAUAGCUACAUAAAGGGAUGGUACCUUACUAGAAAGCCCCGGCUAACUACGUGCCAGCAGCCGCGGUAAUACGUAGGGGGCGAGCGUUACCCGGAAUCACUGGGCGUAAAGGGAGCGUACGUGGCCUUACAUGUCAACUGUGAAAACCCGGAGCUCAACUCCGGACUUGCAGUUGAAACUGCCAGGCUUGAGGACGGUAGAGGAAGACGGAACUGCCAGUGUAGGGGUAAAAUCCUCAGAUAUAGGCAGGAACGCCGGUGACGAAGGUGGUUUUUUGGGCCGGUUCUGACACUGAUGCUCGAAAGCCAGUGGAGCGAACGCGAUUAGAUACCCCGGUAGUGUUGGCCCUAAACGAUGUUCAUUAGGUGUGGGGAGCGGAAAGCUCUCUGUGCUAAAGAUAACGCGAUAAGUGAACUGCCUGGGGAGUACGCCCGCAAGGGUGAAACUCAAAGGAAUAGACGGGGACCCGCACAAGCGGUGGAGCGUGUGGUUUAAUUCGAUGCUAAGCGAAGGACCUUACCAAGGUUUGACAUGCUAAUGGUAGUGAAUUGAAAGAGGAGACGACCUCAUUAUGUGUGGUGUCAGCACAGGUGGUGCACGGCCGUCGUCAGCUCGUGUCGUGAGGUGUUGGGUUAAGUCCCGCAACGAGCGCAACCC